RNAcentral lists this ribosomal RNA (438 nucleotides) under uncultured bacterium. Its description in RNAcentral is "partial 16S ribosomal RNA". It matches the Rfam family "Bacterial small subunit ribosomal RNA", at positions 339 to 795 of the family's 1533-position model. The record is from RNAcentral.
CUACGGGCCGCUCCAGUGAGGAAUAUUGCACAAUGGGGGGAACCCUGAUGCAGCAACGCCGCGUGGAGGAUGACGCAUUUCGGUGUGUAAACUCCUUUUAUAUGUCAAGAAAAUGACGGUAGCAUAUGAAUAAGCACCGGCUAACUCCGUGCCAGCAGCCGCGGUAAUACGGAGGGUGCAAGCGUUACUCGGAAUCACUGGGCGUAAAGGACGCGUAGGCGGGUUGGAAAGUCAGGUGUGAAAUCCUACAGCUUAACUGUAGAACUGCACUUGAAACUUCUAAUCUAGAGUAUGGGAGGGGGAGAUGGAAUUAGUGGGGUAGGGGUAAAAUCCGUAGAUAUCACUAGGAAUACCUAAAGCGAAGGCGAUCUCCUGGAACAUUACUGACGCUAAGGCGUGAAAGCGUGGGGAGCAAACAGGAUUAGAUCCCGCGUAGUC